GAACCAUCAAGCCCUGCUUGGUCUUGGGCGCGGUCUAGAGACCCGUCCGCAACUAGUUGGCGGUGCAGUCCAGCUCCAAGCGUAGCAGAAAUCUCGCUUUAGGGGCCCGCGGCGGCCCUUGCCUAGGAAUUUCAUCUCAAA
Molecule: unclassified non-coding RNA, 141 nt
Filed under: uncultured Ascomycota
Lineage: Eukaryota; Fungi; Ascomycota
Description: sequence contains ITS2
Source: RNAcentral